CGCGCCACGACAGCCGCCCUGGAUCCAGCCACUUGCUUAUCAACGCUACUAUCCAUUACAUACUUAAUGCUUUUAAUUUUUCUUUUAAUGCUUUUCACGUAAUGGACAAUUGUUUAGUAUCUACUUAGAAAAGUAUGGCUUGGAAAACUCACUAGUUAAACUAAAAGUGUUAAAACUGGUUCUCAGACGCGGAGACUUCGUAAUAGCAGCCUAAUAUUAGUUGAAACCGAUUUGAACCGUCUCCGAAAUAGGGCGAGCCAUUAUAGAUAAAGAGAGCUCGACGACGUCGUAAAUAACACAUAAUAUUGUAAUUAAAUUUUCUAACACAAUAAAGAAAAGUUCGUCAGGAACAGUUAAACUAAUGAAACAUUUGGAUAGCAGGUGCGUGGGGUUAGUGGACCGGAAGGCGCGCAAUAAAUCCCCCUAAGCCACUUCCGGAGCGGGCCGGGCUCGGCCGGGUUCACUCGGCGUUCGUGCUUGCCUGUGCGACUCGCGAUGACCACAGGCUGCCCUCUGACACAUUCCCGUACUCUCAUAAACUUAACUUUAUUUGGUGCACCGAGAAUGAUAGUGGGCUGACAUUUAUAUGACCAUUUUACACUAGAGAUACUAAGCUUCUUCAAUUUGCUAAGAUAGGGAAAGGGGUAAAUUCGUUAAAUCUUUUACAUAGUGAUAUAAGCUAUUGCCGCAAACAUCCAGACUGUUACAAAUGUGAAAUGCUAACUUUCGAAAUAAAAAUUGAUCGUGAACGUGUAGAAACUUUGAUUAAUAACAAUAAAACAGCUAUUGUAUAGAAAGUGCAGUGGUCUGGUCCAGCAGCAGCUGGUAAUUACCAACGGUACGCGUUUAUUGUCAGUGUUUCGAUUAAAAUAUCUGACUUAGACAAAGGGGGUUUUAAAUAUUAACAAUUGCACUCACGGUAAAUUACAUGUGACCGGCCAUUAGGCAUGCAAACUUAAUGUAUCUACCUGCACGCGACCUCCUUGCUGUCAAACAAACUAUUUGUUUUGUUUUGUCUAGAUUUAAAAUGCAAAUACGCAAGUAAAAUAUCGUGUUUUAAUCAAACUAAACUACUAUAAAAUAUUUCACGUCGACAAGUAACUACGUUUCCUGUCCCAAAGCUUCACGAAUCGAUAAGAAAGCAUAAAUUCGUUAAAAAAUACUUUUCAAAAUGUAUGGAAACGGUAACAAUUUAUUUGCGCAAACCUGUUGUGAGCGAUAUCGAGAGUUGUUCUUUUCUCUUUAAUACAUUCAAAAAGCAAGGAACAUGCAGAUGUGAGCUCGUUACGUUUUCUUGGUGCGGCGAGUGUCGCCGGCGCGCGGCGGAUGCACGCAUGGCGGCGCAACACCCUCGCGCCCACACACUUGACACAGGCGCAGCGGGUGUUUAUGUGGCGACCGUUACCUCAUCGAGUACGAAACAGGAGGAAGUCGCGACCCGGCCACGAACAAUACUCCACCGAGACUGAUCGGACGACUGCCUACUGCCUCGGACCAUGAACCAAGUAGCCUUAUGUUGUCAUUUUGAUUGCAGGUUUGUAUUUGGUGCACAACUGUGUGACAAACUGUGUGACAACUGAUCUCCAGAAAUAAGAAACACUCUUUAAUCUGCUAAUUAAACAGCCGAUAUAGUUGUACGUCCUAAAGCUUGGUACAAGUCUGAAGUCUCUUCCCGCAUAGGAAAGGUUUUGAGGAUUCAUAAUCACGCUAGCUAGCUCACGGGUUAACUAUUUCAGAUUCCAAGAUUUGGAAUCUAGGUUUCCUCACUAAGUAUGUUUUUCAACACCGUUCGUCAGUGGUGCCUUCGAGUAAUAUACAUGAAACUGUCUGACCUUUUGGUCUAGAGACCCUGACUACAUUACCAGAGGUCGUGGAUUCGAUUCCUGCCCAGGACAAAUGAUUGUGUGUUAGUGUAGUUUAUCUGGAAUUUGUAUGUGUUGAAAAAUAUUUAAGUAUGUUCAUCAGUAGUCUAGUACUCAUAACAUGAGCUUUGCUUAGUU
Molecule: long non-coding RNA, 2000 nt
Organism: Trichoplusia ni (cabbage looper)
Lineage: Eukaryota; Metazoa; Arthropoda; Insecta; Lepidoptera; Noctuidae
Exons: 3
Source: RefSeq, a predicted model, not a curated record